AUGCUCACUUUAGCAGCACAAACACUAAAACAGGAAUGAUACAGAGAAGAGUAGUAAGGUCCCUGAGCAGAGAUGACAGGUAAAUUUGUGAAGGGUUGCAUAUUUUC
This is a small nuclear RNA of Ailuropoda melanoleuca (giant panda), 107 nucleotides long. Lineage: Eukaryota; Metazoa; Chordata; Mammalia; Carnivora; Ursidae. The record is from Ensembl.